ACGGAGGGUGCAAGCGUUAUCCGGAUUCACUGGGUUUAAAGGGUGCGUAGGUGGGCAGGUAAGUCAGUGGUGAAAUCCCCGAGCUUAACUUGGGAACUGCUGUUGAUACUAUCUGUCUUGAAUAUCGUGGAGGUUAGCGGAAUAUGUCAUGUAGCGGUGAAAUGCAUAGAGAUGACAUAGAACACCAAUUGCGAAGGCAGCUGGCUACACGGUAAUUGACACUGAGGCACGAAAGCGUGGGGAGCAAACAGGA
This 253-nucleotide ribosomal RNA is filed under the name uncultured prokaryote. RNAcentral's name for it is "partial 16S ribosomal RNA". It matches the Rfam family "Bacterial small subunit ribosomal RNA", at positions 525 to 777 of the family's 1533-position model. The record is from RNAcentral.